CGCAAGAUGACACUAGAGCUGGAAGAGAGAGGUGGGUCACCCUUGUCGGUGGCUCUGAUAGUGAUGUUGUAUUCUGGGUUCUGCUCGCGGUCUAGAACCCCGUCCGUCACUAAUUUAUACGUGUUUCUAGAAGAAGGUCUUGAGCAGUCACUGAGAAGAUGGAGGAGCCUCUCGGAUUGUUCUCGGGGAUGUAGAUGGAGUAAGAGGAAUCUGAGAAGGGUAAAGAUUCAUUUUGUCUUCUACCAAGAUGUUAAAGCUUAUGAGACACCGCGGGCUCUGGGCGCACAGCUCCUCCCGGUCUAUCCUGCCUGCCGUGACCAAGCUGCCGCUUCGCGGGUUCAGAGAGAAAAGCUGG
Peromyscus maniculatus bairdii (prairie deer mouse) is the source of this 355-nucleotide non-coding RNA. The record is from RefSeq and is a predicted model, not a curated record. NCBI's taxonomy places the organism in Eukaryota, Metazoa, Chordata, Mammalia, Rodentia, Cricetidae.